Molecule: ribosomal RNA, 447 nt
Filed under: uncultured bacterium
Lineage: Bacteria
Description: partial 16S ribosomal RNA
Rfam family: Bacterial small subunit ribosomal RNA
Source: RNAcentral
AACGAACGCCGGCGGCAGGCUUAACACAUGCAAGUCGAGCGCCCCGCAAGGGGAGCGGCAGACGGGUGCGUAACGCGUGGGAACAUACCCUUUGGUUCGGAAUAACUCAGGGAAACUUGAGCUAAUACCGGAUAAGCCCUUCGGGGGAAAGAUUUAUCGCCAUAGGAUUGGCCCGCGUCUGAUUAGCUAGUUGGUGAGGUAACGGCUCACCAAGGCGACGAUCAGUAGCUGGUCUGAGAGGAUGAUCAGCCACACUGGGACUGAGACACGGCCCAGACUCCUACGGGAGGCAGCAGUGGGGAAUAUUGGACAAUGGGCGCAAGCCUGAUCCAGCCAUGCCGCGUGAGUGACGACGGCCUUAGGGUUGUAAAGCUCUUUCGCUAGGGACGAUAAUGACGGUACCUAGAUAAGAAGCCCCGGCUAACUUCGUGCCAGCAGCCGCAGUAA